Molecule: ribosomal RNA, 502 nt
Filed under: uncultured Glomeromycotina
Lineage: Eukaryota; Fungi; Glomeromycota
Description: partial small subunit ribosomal RNA
Rfam family: Eukaryotic small subunit ribosomal RNA
Source: RNAcentral
CCAAUAGCGUAUAUUAAAGUUGUUGCAGUUAAAAAGCUCGUAGUUGAACUUCGGGGCUCACUCAUUGGUCAGGCUUAAUUGUCUGCACUGGUGAGAUGAGUCUCUACCUUCUGAGGAACUUUCAUGCCAUUUAUUUGGUGUUAUUGGAAAUCAGGACUGUUACUUUGAAAAAAUUAGAGUGUUUAAAGCAGGCUAACGUCUGAAUUCAUUAGCAUGGAAUAAUGAAAUAGGACGGACUGAUUCUAUUUCGUUGGUUUCUAGGAUCACCGUAAUGAUUAAUAGGGAUAGUUGGGGGCAUUAGUAUUCAAUUGUCAGAGGUGAAAUUCUUGGAUUUAUUGAAGACUAACUACUGCGAAAGCAUUUGCCAAGGAUGUUUUCAUUAAUCAAGAACGAAAGUUAGGGGAUCGAAGACGAUCAGAUACCGUCGUAGUCUUAACCAUAAACUAUGCCGACUAGGGAUCGGACGAAGUUAAUUUUAUAAUGACGCGUUCGGCACCUUACG